This 253-nucleotide ribosomal RNA is filed under the name uncultured bacterium. Its description in RNAcentral is "partial 16S ribosomal RNA". It matches the Rfam family "Bacterial small subunit ribosomal RNA", at positions 524 to 776 of the family's 1533-position model. The record is from RNAcentral.
UACGGGGGGGGCAAGCGUUGUUCGGAAUUACUGGGCGUAAAGGGCGCGUAGGCGGCCUACUAAGUCGGACGUGAAAUCCCUCGGCUCAACCGGGGAACUGCGUCCGAUACUGGUGGGCUCGAAUCCGGGAGAGGGAUGUGGAAUUCCAGGUGUAGCAGUGAAAUGCGUAGAUAUCUGGAGGAACAUCAGUGGCGAAGGCGACACCCUGGACUCAUACUGACACUGAGGUGCGAAAGCGUGGGGAGCAAACAGG